RNAcentral lists this ribosomal RNA (1201 nucleotides) under metagenome. Its description in RNAcentral is "bacterial LSU rRNA". It matches the Rfam family "Bacterial large subunit ribosomal RNA", at positions 1706 to 2925 of the family's 2925-position model. The record is from RNAcentral.
UAAGGAACUCGGCGAAAUUACCUCGUAACUUCGGAAGAAGAGGUACCCCUUCACGGGGGUUGCAAUAGAUUGACCCUGGCGACUGUUUACCAAAAACACAGGUCUCCGCAAAUUCGUAAGAAAAAGUAUGGGGGCUGACGCCUGCCCAGUGCCGGAAGGUUAAAGAAGUUGGUUAGUCCUUGGACAAAGCUAGCGACUGAAGCCCCGGUGAACGGCGGCCGUAACAAUAACGGUCCUAAGGUAGCGAAAUUCCUUGUCGGGUAAGUUCCGACCCGCACGAAAGGCGUAACGAUCAGGGUACUGUCUCGGAGAGAGGCUCGGCGAAAUAGACAUGUCUGUGAAGAUGCGGACUACCUGCACCUGGACAGAAAGACCCUAUGAAGCUUUACUGUAUCUUGGAAUUGGGUUUGGUCUUUGCAUGCGCAGGAUAGGUGGGAGGCUUUGAAGAUGAUCUUGCGGGGUCGUUGGAGCCACUGGUGAGAUACCACCCUUGCAAUGAUAAAAUCCUAACUUUGAACCGUUAUCCGGUCAAAGAACAGUUUCAGGUGGGCAGUUUGACUGGGGCGGUCGCCUCCUAAAAGGUAACGGAGGCGUGCAAAGGUUCCCUCAGGCUGGUUGGACAUCAGUCGUAGAGUGUAAAGGCAUAAGGGAGCUUGACUGCGAGACCAACAAGUCGAGCAGAGACGAAAGUCGGCCUUAGUGAUCCGGCGCUUCCGAGUGGAAGGGGCGUCGCUCAACGGAUAAAAGUUACUCUAGGAUAACAGGCUGAUCUCCCCCAAGAGUUCACAUCGACGGGGAGGUUUGGCACCUCGAUGUCGGCUCAUCGCAUCCUGGGGCGGUAGUACGUCCCAAGGGUUGGGCUGUUCGCCCAUGAAAGCGGUACGCGAGCUGGGUUCAGAACGUCGUGAGACAGUUCGGUCCAUAUCCGGUGCAGGCGUUAGAGUAUUGCGAAGACUCCUCCUUAGUACGAGAGGACCGGGGGGAAUGCACCGCUGGUGUACCAGUUAUCGUGCCAACGGUAAACGCUGGGUAGCCAAGUGCAGUUUGGAUAACUGCUGAAAGCAUCUAAGUAGGAAGCCAGCUUCAAGCAGUACUCUCACCGCUUCAAGCGGGUAAGAUCACGGCAAGAACAGCCGUUUGAUAGGCAUCAAGUGUAAGUGCAGUAAUGUAUUCAGCUGAGAUGUACUAAUAGGUCGAGGGC